CUGGACUCAGCUUAAGGUACGUGCUAAUCCCAUGGGAAACCAUGCCGCUACGGGAAGGCCCGAUAAGCCGAGCCGUAGGGGGGCCCUCCAGGGGGCUGGUGUGCCGCUGGGCGGAGGUUCUCGUGAACCGAAGCCCGCUGCACAAAAUGCUGUGAUGCCCUUAGAUGUUCUGGGCCGCACGCGCGUUACACUGACGGGGCCAGCGAGUCUUUCCUUGACCGAAAGGUCCGGGUAAUCUUGUGAAACUCU
Molecule: ribosomal RNA, 249 nt
Filed under: fungal sp.
Lineage: Eukaryota; Fungi
Description: partial small subunit ribosomal RNA
Rfam family: Eukaryotic small subunit ribosomal RNA
Source: RNAcentral